UCAGCCUCGGCUAACUCCGUGCCAGCAGCCGCGGUAAUACGGGGGAGGCAAGCGUUAUCCGGAAUUAUUGGGCGUAAAGCGUCCGCAGGUGGUCAGCCAAGUCUGCCGUCAAAUCAGGUUGCUUAACGACCUAAAGGCGGUGGAAACUGGCAGACUAGAGAUCAGUAGGGGUAGCAGGAAUUCCCAGUGUAGCGGUGAAAUGCGUAGAGAUUGGGAAGAACAUCGGUGGCGAAAGCGUGCUACUGGGCUGUAUCUGACACUCAGGGACGAAAGCUAGGGGAGCGAAAGGGAUUAGAUACCCCUGUAGUC
RNAcentral lists this ribosomal RNA (309 nucleotides) under uncultured cyanobacterium. Its description in RNAcentral is "bacterial SSU rRNA". It matches the Rfam family "Bacterial small subunit ribosomal RNA", at positions 487 to 795 of the family's 1533-position model. The record is from RNAcentral. Lineage: Bacteria; Bacillati; Cyanobacteriota.